GGCGGAGUAGCUCAGUUGGUUAGAGCAGAGGAAUCAUAAUCCUUGUGUCGGGGGUUCAAUUCCCUCCCUCGCUACCA
RNAcentral lists this transfer RNA (77 nucleotides) under Micavibrio sp. RNAcentral's name for it is "tRNA-Met". It matches the Rfam family "tRNA". Rfam says of the family: Transfer RNA (tRNA) molecules are approximately 80 nucleotides in length. Their secondary structure includes four short double-helical elements and three loops (D, anti-codon, and T loops). Lineage: Bacteria; Pseudomonadati; Bdellovibrionota; Bdellovibrionia; Bdellovibrionales; Pseudobdellovibrionaceae. The record is from RNAcentral.